AGAGUUUGAUCCUGGCUCAGAGCGAACGCUGGCGGCAGGCCUAAUACAUGCAAGUCGAACGCACCUUCGGGUGAGUGGCGGACGGGUGAGUAACGCGUGGGAACGUGCCCUUUGGUACGGAACAACUGAGGGAAACUUCAGCUAAUACCGUAUGUGCCCUUCGGGGGAAAGAUUUAUCGCCAUUGGAGCGGCCCGCGUUGGAUUAGGUAGUUGGUGGGGUAAAGGCCCACCAAGCCUACGAUCCAUAGCUGGUCUGAGAGGAUGAUCAGCCACACUGGGACUGAGACACGGCCCAGACUCCUACGGGAGGCAGCAGUAGGGAAUCUUGCGCAAUGGGCGAAAGCCUGACGCAGCCAUGCCGCGUGUAUGAUGAAGGUCUUAGGAUUGUAAAAUACUUUCACCGGGAAGAUAAUGACGGUACCCGGAGAAGAAGCCCCGGCUAACUUCGUGCCAGCCGCCGCCGUAAG
This 467-nucleotide ribosomal RNA is filed under the name uncultured Phenylobacterium sp. RNAcentral's name for it is "bacterial SSU rRNA". It matches the Rfam family "Bacterial small subunit ribosomal RNA", at positions 8 to 524 of the family's 1533-position model. Lineage: Bacteria; Pseudomonadati; Pseudomonadota; Alphaproteobacteria; Caulobacterales; Caulobacteraceae. The record is from RNAcentral.